GGGCCCGCACAAGCGGCGGAGCAUGCGGAUUAAUUCGAUGCAACGCGAAGAACCUUACCAAGGCUUGACAUGGACCGGAUCGCCGCAGAAAUGUGGUUUCUCCUUUGGGGCCGGUUCACAGGUGGUGCAUGGUUGUCGUCAGCUCGUGUCGUGAGAUGUUGGGUUAAGUCCCGCAACGAGCGCAACCCUUGUCUCAUGUUGCCAGCACGUUAUGGUGGGGACUCGUGAGAGACUGCCGGGGUCAACCCGGAGGAAGGUGGGGAUGACGUCAAGUUAUCAUGCCCCUUAUGUCCAGGGCUUCACACAUGCUACAAUGGCCGGUACAAAGGGCUGCGAUGCCGUGAGGUGGAGCGAAUCCUUUCAAAGCCGGUCUCAGUUCGGAUCGGGGUCUGCAACUCGACCCCAUGAAGUCGGAGUCGCUAGUAAUCGCAGA
Molecule: ribosomal RNA, 433 nt
Filed under: uncultured Actinomycetes bacterium
Lineage: Bacteria; Bacillati; Actinomycetota; Actinomycetes
Description: bacterial SSU rRNA
Rfam family: Bacterial small subunit ribosomal RNA
Source: RNAcentral